RNAcentral lists this ribosomal RNA (872 nucleotides) under uncultured archaeon. RNAcentral's name for it is "bacterial SSU rRNA". It matches the Rfam family "Archaeal small subunit ribosomal RNA", at positions 1 to 879 of the family's 1478-position model. The record is from RNAcentral.
UUUCCGGUUGAUCCUGCCGGACCUGACUGCUAUCGGAUUGAUACUAAGCCAUGCGAGUCAUUGUAGCAAUACAAGGCAGACGGCUCAGUAACGCGUAGUCAACCUAACCUAUGGACGGGAAUAACCUCGGGAAACUGAGAAUAAUGCCCGAUAGAACAUUAUGCCUGGAAUGGUUUAUGUUCCAAAUGAUUUAUCGCCGUAGGAUGGGACUGCGGCCUAUCAGUUUGUUGGUGAGGUAAUGGCCCACCAAGACUAUUACAGGUACGGGCUCUGAGAGGAGUAGCCCGGAGAUGGGUACUGAGACACGGACCCAGGCCCUAUGGGGCGCAGCAGGCGAGAAAACUUUGCAAUGUGCGAAAGCACGACAAGGUUAAUCCGAGUGGUUUCUGCUAAAGGAACCUUUUGUCGGUCCUAGAAACACCGAUGAAUAAGGGGUGGGCAAGUUCUGGUGUCAGCCGCCGCGGUAAAACCAGCACCUCAAGUGGUCAGGAUGAUUAUUGGGCCUAAAGCAUCCGUAGCCUGCUUUGUUAGUUUUCGGUUAAAUCUGUACGCUCAACGUACAGGCUGCCGGGAAUACUGCAAAGCUAGGGAGUGGGAGAGGUAGACGGUACUCGGUAGGAAGGGGUAAAAUCCUUUGAUCUAUUGAUGACCACCUGUGGCGAAGGCGGUCUACCAGAACACGUCCGACGGUGAGGGAUGAAAGCUGGGGGAGCAAACCGGAUUAGAUACCCGGGUAGUCCCAGCCGUAAACCAUGCAAACUCAGUGAUGCAUUGGCUUGUGGCCAAUGCAGUGCUGCAGGGAAGCCGUUAAGUUUGCCGCCUGGGAAGUACGUACGCAAGUAUGAAACUUAAAGGAAUUGGCGGGGGAGCAC